GGCCUCGUAGCUCAGUUGUCUAGAGCGUUGGCGCCUUCCCCUUGCUGGCGUGGGUUUGAAUCCCACCGAGGCCG
RNAcentral lists this transfer RNA (74 nucleotides) under Schistocephalus solidus. It matches the Rfam family "tRNA". Rfam says of the family: Transfer RNA (tRNA) molecules are approximately 80 nucleotides in length. Their secondary structure includes four short double-helical elements and three loops (D, anti-codon, and T loops). The record is from Rfam by way of RNAcentral. Lineage: Eukaryota; Metazoa; Platyhelminthes; Cestoda; Diphyllobothriidea; Diphyllobothriidae.